Molecule: ribosomal RNA, 468 nt
Filed under: uncultured bacterium
Lineage: Bacteria
Description: partial 16S ribosomal RNA
Rfam family: Bacterial small subunit ribosomal RNA
Source: RNAcentral
GACGAACGCUGGCGGCGUGCUUAACACAUGCAAGUCGAACGGAAAGGCCCUGCUUUUGUGGGGUGCUCGAGUGGCGAACGGGUGAGUAACACGUGAGUAACCUGCCCUUGACUUUGGGAUAACUCCAGGAAACUGGGGCUAAUACCGGAUAGGAUCUCCUGCUGCAUGGUGGGGGUUGGAAAGUUUCGGCGGUUGGGGCUGGACUCGCGGCUUAUCAGCUUGUUGGUGGGGUAGUGGCUUUCCAAGGCUUUGACGGGUAGCCGGCCUGAGAGGGUGACCGGCCACAUGGGGACUGAGGUACGGCGCAGAAGCCAACCGGAGGCAGCGGUGGGGAAUCUUGCACAGUGGGCGGGAGUCUGAUGCAGCAACGCCGCGUGCGGGAUGACGGCCUUCGGGUGGUAAACCGAUUUCGCCUGAGACGAAGCGUGAGUGACGGUAAUGGGUAAAGAAGCACCGGCUAACUACGUG